Molecule: unclassified non-coding RNA, 2091 nt
Filed under: Hevea brasiliensis (rubber tree)
Lineage: Eukaryota; Viridiplantae; Streptophyta; Magnoliopsida; Malpighiales; Euphorbiaceae
Source: RNAcentral
CCUCAAAACAUUUCAGCCAUAAUCACAUCAACCAUAGUAUCAGAACACACUGUAGGCCUCAACAAGAAAAGGCAAGCCUUUGAAAUUUGGUAAUUUCUGCCUAGUUGUCUCUCAUUCUCUUUUUUUAACAAUACAAACAUGAAAUACAUAGGAAUCUAAAAGUUGAAAUGAUGAUCUAGCUGAUCCAACAACUAGUUGAAUACACAAUCCUAUGCAAAUGGAUUUCCGCCAAUAGCAGCAACUUGACCGUGUGUCGGCACAUUCGAUAUUUGAUUGCCAGCUGGUUGUGAGGAAACAAAUAAUGUCCCAUGCUGUCCAGCAGGACCAUAAGCUGUUGCUGGGUUCUGAGGAAACCAAGAUUCGGUCACACCACCAACAAAAGAAGAUGACAUCCCAUCACUUGGCAAUGCAGCCUGUAAUGAGCUCAUGUCCCAGUACUGCGGCAUAUUGCUGCAUUCCAUGUCAGCAUCGUAAGGGAGAUCAAAUGGGUUGUUGGACUUCUGCUCAUUUGCAUGUGAAUGCACUCCUGUCGCUACAGGAAGAGUGGACAAUCCAGAUGACGAGGCACUGACAUAUGAUGGAAAACUGGUAAUAGGAUAUCCACUAUCCAGCACAGCUCUUUGACUUUGACCUGUCACUGCAUUCUCUACUCCUCUUAAGCCCAUGUACUGAUCAUCAACUAGAUCAUGGUUCAUUACAACUUGUUCCUUACUAUUAGGCAAACUCUUGAGAGCUAAGUGGUCAUUAGAAACAUCAAAGGCACUCCACAAGUCAGUACUUCUUGCACUUGGAGUUACUUCAACAUUCAGCACACCUCCAUGAAAUGGAGCAGGCAUUGAUAAAUCUAAUGCACAAGCAGUGGAGUCUCUAACGGCUGGCCCAUGAGGGGCAGAUUCCAUAGGUGAUGGCCAUUGCAUGACGGAGAAAGUUGGGUCCGAAUUCGAUUGAGCAUCACCCUUUAAUUGAAUCGUGUUGGAGGUAAAGUUAUUACUUCCAGUGAGUGUCACGUGCUGAGGCACAUCAAAUGUUGCCCAUCCAUCAUCCACAUCCAAUGACUUCUCAGUGACCAAUUGUUGCUGUGUCUUUUCAGGUAAAAUGUCAAAAGAAUUAUGGCCAUAAGCAGGUGUUGGUGCCAGGGUGAACUGUUCGAUGCCUGUUGUUGCUGCAUGCCGCUGCAUAUCAAAUGUUGCCCAUCCUUCAUUUUUGGAAGUGACUUCACAUGAUGGUUUUUCAUCAGCACUUACAGCUGAAGGCAGGUUUGGCACCUCUGAGAAAAAGUCCAAAGAUGAAGGUGGGAGAGUGAGCGAUGGUUGAUGUGAAUUACCAAUUGGACCAGCAGAAAUGGAUGGCUGAAAUGAUGACACUGGCAGACGAGAUUUUGUUGAAACUGAAGGUGGAGCGUUUUGAGGAACUGAGGGAGCAUUGAAUAGAUCAGGGCCAUCUGGAUUUCCGGGUCCCGAUGAUCGUUGCAAAGAGGGGAAAGUUGACAAUUUACUAGAGUGAGUCUCUAUUGUUUGAUUUGAUUCUGAAACAGCAUCCGCUAAACAAACAGAAUUUACAGACUUGAAUGACAAGGAAUUGCUGUCGAAUGAUUCAAAACUUCCAGAAGAUGCAGUUCUCUGUGCUCGUAAUAUUCUUCCAGCAUCUUUCUUGACAUGCCGUACAUCUUCGUAUGAAAUAUCCCUUGAGGUGUCACACAAGGGACUUCCGAUGCCUCUCUGGAAGUUGGGGCUCUGUGCGACUGACCUGAAUGGAUCACCACCACUAGACACAGAGUAAUCUGAAGCUCUGGGAUUAGAUCCUUCAUUACCAAACCUAUCAUCAUACAUAUUAUCACUUAAACGACUAGGACUCAAGAAACUCGACACCUUUCCUUCAUAAAGUCCCCGGUCUGAUCCUGGCUUUCUAGUGAGUGCUGGUGCAUUUUUCCCAUAACGUCGUUCUUCAUACUGAAAGUCAUAUGGUGGACUUUGAGAAUAGGAAUGAUAAGAACUUGCUCUCCUCAUAUCAUCGUCGUGGUUUCUCAAAUUCUGGAUAUCUCUAGGAGGUCUAUCAGAGGACUGCGCCCCAGCAUAUUUUUUAUCAACAUAG